UCUAGCAGCAAUUCUAGGGAUUUUGGUUGAUGUGCCUGUUAUAACUUUAAUAGUUCUGUAUAAAGCGCCUAUAUUACUGUUCAAAGGGUGGCACCGGCUAAUACAAGAUCUUACUGGGAGGGCAGGCCCAUUUUUGGAAACUGUUUGUGUUCCAUUUGCUGGGUUUUGGAUUCUGUUGUGGCCAAUUGUGGUUCUGCUGGCAACUUUGACAGGCAUGAUUUCAAGUUUUGGGUUUGGCUGUUAUGCUACAGUUGUUGCAUAUCAGGAAAAUUCUACUAAGAGGGGAUUGCUUUAUGUGAUUGCUUCUGCAUCUGUAUUUGAUGAGUACACCAAUGAUUUGCUGUACCUGCAAGAAGGUUCAUGCUUCCCCAGACCUAAAUAUCACGAACGAGUUAGUCCCAG
Molecule: unclassified non-coding RNA, 402 nt
Filed under: Hevea brasiliensis (rubber tree)
Lineage: Eukaryota; Viridiplantae; Streptophyta; Magnoliopsida; Malpighiales; Euphorbiaceae
Source: RNAcentral